RNAcentral lists this ribosomal RNA (545 nucleotides) under uncultured marine picoplankton. RNAcentral's name for it is "SSU rRNA". It matches the Rfam family "Eukaryotic small subunit ribosomal RNA", at positions 598 to 1147 of the family's 1831-position model. The record is from RNAcentral.
CGUAUACUAAAGUUGUUGCAGUUAAAAAGCUCGUAGUUGAAUUUCUGGUCUCGGACAUCGGUCUGCCUCGAACGAGGUACGUACCAGUUGUCUGCAUCCAUCCUCGGGGAAAACAUGUCUGGCAUUCAGUUGUUGGGCAUGGGAUCCUCGUCAUUUACUGUGAGCAAAAUAGAGUGUUCAAAGCAGGCUUAUGCCGUUGAAUACAUUAGCAUGGAAUAAUAAGAUAGGACCUUGGUCUAUUUUGUUGGUUUGUACUCCAAGGUAAUGAUUAAUAGGGAUAGUUGGGGGUAUUCGUAUUCAAUUGUCAGAGGUGAAAUUCUUGGAUUUAUGGAAGACGAACUACUGCGAAAGCAUUUACCAAGGAUGUUUUCAUUAAUCAAGAACGAAAGUUAGGGGAUCGAAGAUGAUUAGAUACCAUCGUAGUCUUAACCAUAAACUAUGCCGACUAGGGAUUGGUGGACGUUUGUAACGACUCCAUCAGCACCUUAUGAGAAAUCAAAGUCUUUGGGUUCCGGGGGGAGUAUGGUCGCAAGGCUGAAACUUAA